This 429-nucleotide ribosomal RNA is filed under the name uncultured bacterium. RNAcentral's name for it is "bacterial SSU rRNA". It matches the Rfam family "Bacterial small subunit ribosomal RNA", at positions 355 to 776 of the family's 1533-position model. The record is from RNAcentral.
UGGGGAAUUUUGGACAAUGGGGGAAACCCUGAUCCAGCCAUCCCGCGUGAGUGAAGAAGGCCUUCGGGUUGUAAAGCUCUUUCGAAAGUGAAGAAAACUUAUUUCGUAAUAUGUUAUAAGUAUGACGGUAACUUUAGAAGAAGCACCGGCUAACUACGUGCCAGCAGCCGCGGUAAUACGUAGGGUGCGAGCGUUAAUCGGAAUUACUGGGCGUAAAGCGUGCGCAGGCGGUUUUGUAAGUCAGAUGUGAAAUCCCCGAGCUUAACUUGGGAACUGCGUUUGAAACUACAAGACUAGAGUGUGUCAGAGGGGGGUAGAAUUCCACGUGUAGCAGUGAAAUGCGUAGAGAUGUGGAGGAAUACCAAUGGCGAAGGCAGCCCCCUGGGAUAACACUGACGCUCAUGCACGAAAGCGUGGGGAGCGAACAGG